GAGUUUGAUCAUGGCUCAGAUUGAACGCUGGCGGCAUGCCUUACACAUGCAAGUCGAACGGCAGCACGGGAGCUUGCUCCUGGUGGCGAGUGGCGAACGGGUGAGUAAUGCAUCGGAACGUAUCCUGGAGUGGGGGAUAACGUAGCGAAAGUUACGCUAAUACCGCAUAUUCUGUCGAGCAGGAAAGCGGGGGACCUUCGGGCCUCGCGCUCUUGGAG
Molecule: ribosomal RNA, 218 nt
Filed under: bacterium enrichment culture clone ALO1_GLFRUDD03HFW50
Lineage: Bacteria
Description: partial 16S ribosomal RNA
Rfam family: Bacterial small subunit ribosomal RNA
Source: RNAcentral